ACGACGCAGCCCUGGCACAAUUCACCAGUGUCCGUUUCCGUGAGGUAUUUCCAUGGAGGCUAGCGCAGCGGUAACAAAGUGCCUCCCAGAGGUGGGCAGGGAGCAUCGGCGUAGGCGCUGGCCCAGGCCAGCCUGUGGCAGUCCCAGGUCUGUCCCUCCAGCUGCUUCCCCAUUUGCGUGCAGGCCCCCUCUGGCUCAGUACUGGGACGGGGGGUCAGCCUGGUGAAAAGGCCGCUGUGUCUGGACUCGGCUGAAGAUGGGCUGGGUGACCUCUCGCUCCUUCUCCCUUCCAGAGAGCAAACGCGACCUCUACGACCGCUACGGCAAGGACGGGCUCACGGGGGCCGCAGGGUCCAGGGGACCGAGGGCUGAGGAUGGAGCCCCUGGAUUUACUUUCAACUUUGCCGUCAUCCGUGACAUCCUCAGAGAGUUCUUUGGGGGACGAGAUCCUUUCUAUGGUGCGACUGGUGCUGAGAGGAGCAACACGGAAGCAGCAAGGAACGAAUCCCACCCUGGAUACGAGUCGCAUGAAGCAUGCAAUGACUUGCACGAGGGAUAUGAGUUUUA
RNAcentral lists this long non-coding RNA (567 nucleotides) under Chrysemys picta bellii (western painted turtle). RNAcentral's name for it is "lncRNA (ENSCPBG00000013121.1)". Lineage: Eukaryota; Metazoa; Chordata; Testudines; Emydidae. The record is from RNAcentral.